UACGUAGGUGGCAAGCGUUGUCCGGAUUUAUUGGGCGUAAAGCGAGCGCAGGCGGUUUUUUAAGUCUGAUGUGAAAGCCUACGACUUAACCGUAGAAGUGCAUCAGAAACUGGGAGACUUGAGUGCAGAAGAGGGCAGUGGAACUCCAUGUGUAGCGGUGGAAUGCGUAGAUAUAUGGAAGAACACCAGUGGCGAAGGCGGCUGCCUGGUCUGUAACUGACGCUGAGGCUUGAAAGCAUGGGUAGCAAACA
RNAcentral lists this ribosomal RNA (251 nucleotides) under uncultured bacterium. Its description in RNAcentral is "partial 16S ribosomal RNA". It matches the Rfam family "Bacterial small subunit ribosomal RNA", at positions 524 to 774 of the family's 1533-position model. The record is from RNAcentral.